Molecule: ribosomal RNA, 207 nt
Filed under: uncultured bacterium
Lineage: Bacteria
Description: partial 16S ribosomal RNA
Rfam family: Bacterial small subunit ribosomal RNA
Source: RNAcentral
UGCGUAGGCGGGUCUUUAAGUCAGGGGUGAAAUCCUGGAGCUCAACUCCAGAACUGCCUUUGAUACUGAGGAUCUUGAGUUCGGGAGAGGUGAGUGGAACUGCGAGUGUAGAGGUGAAAUUCGUAGAUAUUCGCAAGAACACCAGUGGCGAAGGCGGCUCACUGGCCCGAUACUGACGCUGAGGCACGAAAGCGCGGGGAGCAAACA